GUCGAGGGGUAACAGGAGUAGCUUGCUAUUUGCUGACGACCGGCGCACGGGUGCGUAACGCGUAUAGAAUCUACCUUAUACUGGGGGAUAGCCUUUGGAAACGAAGAUUAAUACCCCAUAGUAUUAUUUUUUGGCAUCAUUAAAUAAUUAAAGUUUCGGCGGUAUAAGAUGACUAUGCGUUCUAUUAGUUAGUUGGUAAGGUAACGGCUUACCAAGACUGCGAUAGAUAGGGGUCCUGAGAGGGAGAUCCCCCACACUGGUACUGAGACACGGACCAGACUCCUACGGGAGGCAGCAGUGAGGAAUAUUGGACAAUGGAGGCAACUCUGAUCCAGCCAUGCCGCGUGUAGGAAGACUGCCCUAUGGGUUGUAAACUACUUUUAUAUGGGAAGAAUAAGGUCUACGUGUAGACUGAUGACGGUACCAUAAGAAUAAGCACCGGCUAACUCCGUGCCAGCAGCCGCGGUAAUACGGAGGGUGCAAGCGUUAUCCGGAAUCAUUGGGUUUAAAGGGUCCGUAGGCGGGCAUAUAAGUCAGUGGUGAAAGUCUGUGGCUUAACCAUAGAAUUGCCAUUGAUACUGUAUGUCUUGAAUUAUUGUGAAGUGGUUAGAAUAUGUAGUGUAGCGGUGAAAUGCUUAGAGAUUACAUAGAAUACCGAUUGCGAAGGCAGAUCACUAACAAUAUAUUGACGCUGAUGGACGAAAGCGUAGGUAGCGAACAGGAUUAGAUACCCUGGUAGUCUACGCCGUAAACGAUGGAUACUAGUUGUUUGGCCUUCGGGCUGAGUGACUAAGCGAAAGUGAUAAGUAUCCCACCUGGGGAGUACGUUCGCAAGAAUGAAACUCAAAGGAAUUGACGGGGGCCCGCACAAGCGGUGGAGCAUGUGGUUUAAUUCGAUGAUACGCGAGGAACCUUACCAGGGCUUAAAUGUAGUCUGACAGCUUUAGAGAUAGAGUUUUCUUCGGACAGAUUACAAGGUGCUGCAUGGUUGUCGUCAGCUCGUGCCGUGAGGUGUCAGGUUAAGUCCUAUAACGAGCGCAACCCCUGUGGUUAGUUGCCAGCGAGUAAUGUCGGGAACUCUAGCCAGACUGCCGGUGCAAACCGUGAGGAAGGUGGGGAUGACGUCAAAUCAUCACGGCCCUUACGUCCUGGGCCACACACGUGCUACAAUGGUAGGGACAGAGAGCAGCCACUUAGCGAUAAGGAGCGAAUCUAUAAACCCUAUCUCAGUUCGGAUUGGAGUCUGCAACUCGACUCCAUGAAGCUGGAAUCGCUAGUAAUCGGAUAUCAGCCAUGAUCCGGUGAAUACGUUCCCGGGCCUUGUACACACCGCCCGUCAAGCCAUGGAAGCUGGGGGUACCUGAAGUCCGUCACCGUAAGGAGCGGCCUAGGGUAAAACUGGUAACUAGGGCUAAGUCGUAACAAUGUAACC
Molecule: ribosomal RNA, 1432 nt
Filed under: Dokdonia donghaensis
Lineage: Bacteria; Pseudomonadati; Bacteroidota; Flavobacteriia; Flavobacteriales; Flavobacteriaceae
Also listed under: 1 other name
Description: 16S ribosomal RNA
Rfam family: Bacterial small subunit ribosomal RNA
Source: RNAcentral